Molecule: ribosomal RNA, 1254 nt
Filed under: uncultured fungus
Lineage: Eukaryota; Fungi
Description: eukaryotic LSU rRNA
Rfam family: Eukaryotic large subunit ribosomal RNA (bases 539-1254)
Source: RNAcentral
AAGUCGUAACAAGGUAACCGUAGGUGAACCUGCGGUUGGAUCAUUAAUAAAUCUAGAAGGUCUUAAAGACCUUUCUAACAUCUUGUGAAACGUUUCAUGUCUCUGGCAGGCUCUGUCUGCCGCAUAUACUUUGUAUUACCAUUCGUCUAAAAAAAUUAUAAAAGUAAUUAAAACAACUUUUGACAACGGAUCUCUAGGCUCUCGCAACGAUGAAGAACGCAGCGAAAUGCGAUAAGUAAUGUGAAUUGCAGAAUUCCGUGAAUCAUUAAAUCUUUGAACGCACAUUGCGCCUUUUGGAAUUCCUCAAGGCAUGCCUGUUCGAGAAUCAGUUUAACCAUCAAAUCUAUAGUGGAAACAUUGUAUGUUUGGACUUGGGACUUCUCGAUAGAGAGACCCUAAUUGCAUUUGUUGCACAUCUUCAUCUUGGAUAUAUGAAUGGCAUGACCAUUGAACGCAAGUUCUCACAUGAUUGCAACUAAGUAUAUUUAAGCUUUUGAUGUCGUACAGAAACUUUACGAAGGAUAACUCCUUUAAGACUUGAUCUCGAAUCAGACAAGACUACCCGCUGAACUUAAGCAUAUCAAUAAGCGGAGGAAAAGAAACUAACAAGGAUUCCCCUAGUAACGGCGAGUGAAGCGGGAAGAGCUCAAAUUUGAAAUCUCACAGGUUCCCUGUGCGAAUUGUAGUUUAAAGAAGUAUUUACGGAGACAACCCAGGCAUAAGUCCUUUGGAACAGGGCAUCAUAGAAGGUGAGAAUCCUGUAUAUGGUCUGGUGUUGUUUCUAUGUGUUAUACUUUCAAAGAGUCGGGCUGUUUGGGAAUGCAGCCCAAAAUGGGUGGUAAAUACCAUCUAAAGCUAAAUAUUGGCGAGAGACCGAUAGCGAACAAGUACCGUGAGGGAAAGAUGAAAAGAACUUUGAAAAGAGAGUUAAAUAGUACGUGAAAUUGUCAAAAGGGAAACACUUGAAACCAGUCUUGUCUGUAGAAUCCCAACUAGUUUAACGACUAGCAUAUGUUUCUACCGGCAGGUCAACAUCGGUUUCGACUGUAGUACAAAGCUUGUGGAAGGAGGCCUUCGGGUGUUAUAGCCUCAAGUAAUGCUAUGGUUGAGACCGAGGAUUGCAGUUCAGUCUUGGGGACCCGUUCGCCAGUUGAAUACCUUCUUGGACUGCUUGCAGAUCAAGAAGGGGCUAAGACUGCUCGGGCGGUACACCACACCUGUGCUUAGGAUGUUGACAUAAUGGUUUUAAAUGAC